RNAcentral lists this ribosomal RNA (468 nucleotides) under uncultured bacterium. Its description in RNAcentral is "partial 16S ribosomal RNA". The stretch from base 18 to 367 matches the Rfam family "Bacterial small subunit ribosomal RNA", at positions 45 to 393 of the family's 1533-position model. The record is from RNAcentral.
GACGAACGCUGGCGGCGUGCUUAACACAUGCAAGUCGAACGGAAAGGCCCUGCUUUUGUGGGGUGCUCGAGUGGCGAACGGGUGAGUAACACGUGAGUAACCUGCCCUUGACUUUGGGAUAACUUCAGGAAACUGGGGCUAAUACCGGAUAGGAGCUCCUGCUGCAUGGUGGGGGUUGGAAAGUUUCGGCGGUUGGGGAUGGACUCGCGGCUUAUCAGCUUGUUGGUGGGGUAGUGGCUUACCAAGGCUUUGACGGGUAGCCGGCCUGAGAGGGUGACCGGAAACAGUGGGAGAGAGUGGCGGCCUGGACCACUAGGGGGGGGGGAAGGGGGGAAUAGGGCAGAAUGGGCGGGAGCUGGUGGCGGCAGGCCCGGGUGGGGGAUGAGGGCUUGGGGUUGUAAGACGCGUUCGGCGGGUGAGGAACGGGGGGGGGGGUAAGGGGAAAAAAAGGCCCGGACGAAGACCGUG